Molecule: microRNA precursor, 120 nt
Filed under: Medicago truncatula (barrel medic)
Lineage: Eukaryota; Viridiplantae; Streptophyta; Magnoliopsida; Fabales; Fabaceae
Description: miR156g stem-loop (mtr-MIR156g)
Gene: mtr-MIR156g
Source: miRBase by way of RNAcentral
GGUUGUUGACAGAAGAUAGAGGGCACUAAGGAUGAUAUGCAUACACAUAUAUAUACAACAUGGAGGAGGAGCUUAAUUGCAUUUCAUUUCCUUUGUGCUCUCUAGACUUCUGUCAUCACC